AGAGUUUGAUCCUGGCUCAGAAUGAACGCUGGCGGCGUGCUUAACACAUGCAAGUCGAACGAGAAAGGGAUUGCUUGCAAUCCUGAGUAGAGUGGCGCACGGGUGAGUAACACGUAGAUAAUCUACCUUUGAACCUGGGAUAACUAAUCGAAAGGUUAGCUAAUACCGGAUGAAGUUAAUCGGCAUAAGUUGAUUGAUGAAAGACUGCCUAUCCUUGGAAGCAGUUGUUUGGAGAUGAGUUUGCGGACCAUUAGCUAGUUGGUGGGGUAAAGGCCUACCAAGGCGAUGAUGGGUAGCUGGUCUGAGAGGACGAUCAGCCACACUGGAACUGAGACACGGUCCAGACUCCUACGGGAGGCAGCAGUGGGGAAUAUUGCGCAAUGGGCGAAAGCCUGACGCAGCAACGCCGCGUGGGGGAUGAAGGUUCUCGGAUUGUAAACCCCUUUCGAUCGGAACGAAUCCCCUCCUGGUAAAUAAUCAGGAGGAUCGACGGUACCGGGAGAAGAAGCCACGGCUAACUCUGUGCCAGCAGCCGCGGUAAGACAGAGGUGGCGAGCGUUGUUCGGAUUUAUUGGGCGUAAAGCGAACGCAGGUGGUUUGGUAAGUCAGGGGUGAAAGACCACAGCUUAACUGUGGCACUGCCUUUGAUACUGCCUUUCUAGAGUGCAUGAGGGGGAAGCGGAAUUCCGAGUGUAGAGGUGAAAUUCGUAGAUAUUCGGAGGAACACCGGUGGCGAAGGCGGCUUCCUGGCAUGUAACUGACACUCAUGUUCGAAAGCGUGGGUAGCAAACAGGAUUAGAUACCCUGGUAGUCC
This 814-nucleotide ribosomal RNA is filed under the name uncultured bacterium. Its description in RNAcentral is "bacterial SSU rRNA". It matches the Rfam family "Bacterial small subunit ribosomal RNA", at positions 8 to 796 of the family's 1533-position model. The record is from RNAcentral.